RNAcentral lists this ribosomal RNA (254 nucleotides) under uncultured bacterium. RNAcentral describes it as "partial 16S ribosomal RNA". It matches the Rfam family "Bacterial small subunit ribosomal RNA", at positions 524 to 776 of the family's 1533-position model. The record is from RNAcentral.
UACGUAGGGGGCGAGCGUUGUCCGGAUUCAUUGGGCGUAAAGAGCUCGUAGGCGGUUUGGUAAGUCGGGUGUGAAAACCCCAGGCUCAACCUGGGGACGCCACCUGAUACUGCUAUGACUUGAGUCUGGUAGGGGAUCACGGAAUUCCUGGUGUAGCGGUGAAAUGCGCUGAUAUCAGGAGGAACACCGGUGGCGAAGGCAGUGAUCUGGGCCAGUACUGACGCUGAGGAGCGAAAGCGUGGGUAGCAAACAGG